CUUUCCCACGGGGUACACGGCGCACAUUUGCGUACCAGCCGCAGCCACGCUCAUGCCUUUGAGUUCCCGUCUGCUCGUAUUCGAGGUGGCAUCUCGUCACGCAGAUGUUGCCUUGGCUGUGUGUGGCCAGCCAAACCCCGGCACACAGGGCGGCAGGCCAGUUGUUUUCGAAACGAGUCGUGGAGGAAGCUGAGCCCAGUCAAGAGUGGGGGGCGCACCGCAAAAAAUUUGCACACAAGUUAAAAACACAUUUUUCUGGCAGUGUAAAUCUCGGGCAGGCUAAUUAAGCCGCGGCGGUUGGCAUGGAAUGGAACGCACGAGCGUUCGGGAGAGAAGCUUACGGGUAUGGGGCGGGUCACACGUGCCAACACCUAGCCACCAGCAGUGUCUCGGACACACGGGGGAAACGAUCAGCAAGCAUGCACAAUAUGAGGAACCUCUCCAUGCAAAAUGUCUUGCAGUCUUUACCUGGUCAAGCGGAGUUCAUGAACAGGGGAGGCCCAUAACAUCCAUCGCUGCUGUGUGCCACUCUUUACCUCGUUGCACAGUUCUGAGGUUGAAGGUUUUCCAUCUUGGUGGCCGGUGCAGAUUUGAUGAGACGUUUCAUGAAGUCGUGUCUUCUGGCGUGGACGUCUGACUGGGGACUCGGGUUCCACUGCCGAGGGCAGAUCCGAGCUGUUUUAGACUGGGGACACUUUUGUCUGACUGGGUUCAUUUACAGUUCUGCUGGAGACUCCGGGAAAUGAAACAGAUACCUUUUGUCACAUCCUCCAACUCCACAUCCCUCUCUCUCUCUCUCUCUCUUUCGCUCACUCUCUCUCCCUCUCUCUCUUUCUCUCUCUCCCUCUUUCUCUCU
This is a long non-coding RNA of Clupea harengus (Atlantic herring), 856 nucleotides long. RefSeq lists it as uncharacterized. NCBI's taxonomy places the organism in Eukaryota, Metazoa, Chordata, Actinopteri, Clupeiformes, Clupeidae. The record is from RefSeq and is a predicted model, not a curated record.